GCCUAUGUAGCUCAGCCGGUAGAGCAGAGGACUGAAAAUCCUCGUGUCGGCGGUUCGAUUCCGUCCAUAGGCACCA
Molecule: transfer RNA, 76 nt
Filed under: bacterium
Lineage: Bacteria
Description: tRNA-Phe
Rfam family: tRNA
About the family: Transfer RNA (tRNA) molecules are approximately 80 nucleotides in length. Their secondary structure includes four short double-helical elements and three loops (D, anti-codon, and T loops).
Source: RNAcentral